GCUCAGGCGUCGUCCAAAGCGCUCCAGGAAGCGCAAGCCGAGGUGAAGCUGCUGACGACCGCCUUGCA
Molecule: non-coding RNA, 68 nt
Organism: Tribolium castaneum (red flour beetle)
Lineage: Eukaryota; Metazoa; Arthropoda; Insecta; Coleoptera; Tenebrionidae
Source: RefSeq, marked provisional